GACGAACGCUGGCGGCGUGCUUAACACAUGCAAGUCGAACGGAAAGGCCCUGCUUUUGUGGGGUGCUCGAGUGGCGAACGGGUGAGUAACACGUGAGUAACCUGCCCUUGACUUUGGGAUAACUUCAGGAAACUGGGGCUAAUACCGGAUAGGAGCUCCUGCUGCAUGGUGGGGGUUGGAAAGUUUCGGCGGUUGGGGAUGGACUCGCGGCUUAUCGGCUUGUUGGUGGGGUAGUGGCUUACCAAGGCUUUGACGGGUAGCCGGCCUGAGAGGGUGACCGGCCACAUUGGGACUGAGAUACGGCCCAGACUCCUACGGGAGGCAGCAGUGGGGAAUAUUGCACAAUGGGCGGAAGCCUGAUGCAGCAACGCCGCGUGCGGGAUGACGGCCUUCGGGUUGUAAACCGCUUUCGCCUGUGACGAGGCGUGAGUGACGGUAAUGGGUAAAGAAGCACCGGCUAACUACGUG
RNAcentral lists this ribosomal RNA (468 nucleotides) under uncultured bacterium. RNAcentral's name for it is "partial 16S ribosomal RNA". It matches the Rfam family "Bacterial small subunit ribosomal RNA", at positions 28 to 507 of the family's 1533-position model. The record is from RNAcentral.